Molecule: ribosomal RNA, 482 nt
Filed under: uncultured bacterium
Lineage: Bacteria
Description: partial 16S ribosomal RNA
Rfam family: Bacterial small subunit ribosomal RNA
Source: RNAcentral
AUUGAACGCUGGCGGCAUGCUUUACACAUGCAAGUCGAACGGUAACAGGCCGCAAGGUGCUGACGAGUGGCGAACGGGUGAGUAAUGCAUCGGAACGUGCCCAGUCGUGGGGGAUAACUACUCGAAAGAGUAGCUAAUACCGCAUACGAUCUAUGGAUGAAAGCGGGGGACCGUAAGGCCUCGCGCGAUUGGAGCGGCCGAUGUCAGAUUAGGUAGUUGGUGGGGUAAAGGCUCACCAAGCCAACGAUCUGUAGCUGGUCUGAGAGGACGACCAGCCACACUGGGACUGAGACACGGCCCAGACUCCUACGGGAGGCAGCAGUGGGGAAUUUUGGACAAUGGGCGCAAGCCUGAUCCAGCAAUGCCGCGUGCAGGAAGAAGGCCUUCGGGUUGUAAACUGCUUUUGUACGGAACGAAACGGCUCUGGUUAAUACCCGGGGCUAAUGACGGUUCCGUAAGAAUAAGCACCGGCUAACUACGUG